This 462-nucleotide ribosomal RNA is filed under the name uncultured Bacillus sp. RNAcentral describes it as "bacterial SSU rRNA". It matches the Rfam family "Bacterial small subunit ribosomal RNA", at positions 920 to 1382 of the family's 1533-position model. The record is from RNAcentral. Lineage: Bacteria; Bacillati; Bacillota; Bacilli; Caryophanales; Bacillaceae.
CCCGCACAAGCAGUGGAGUAUGUGGUUUAAUUCGACGCAACGCGAAGAACCUUACCAGGGCUUGACAUCGUCUGAUGGCUGUAGAGAUACGGCGUUCCCUUCGGGGACAGAUAGACAGGUGGUGCAUGGUUGUCGUCAGCUCGUGUCGUGAGAUGUUGGGUUAAGUCCCGCAACGAGCGCAACCCCUACGUUUAGUUGCUAACGCGUGAAGGCGAGCACUCUAGACGAACUGCCGUUGACAAAACGGAGGAAGUGGGAUGACGUCAAAUCAUCAUGCCCCUUAUGUUCUGGGCUACACACGUGCUACAAUGGCCGGUACAGACGGACGCAAAGCCGCGAGGUGGAGCAAAUCCUAAAAAGCCGGUCUCAGUUCGGAUUGCAGGCUGCAAUUCGCCUGCAUGAAGUCGGAAUCGCUAGUAAUCGCAGGUCAGCAUACUCGCGGUCGAAUACGUUCCGGGCCUU